UACGAAGGGGGCUAGCGUUGCUCGGAAUCACUGGGCGUAAAGGGUGCGUAGGCGGGUCUUUAAGUCAGGGGUGAAAUCCUGGAGCUCAACUCCAGAACUGCCUUCGAUACUGAAGAUCUUGAGUUCGGGAGAGGUGAGUGGAACUGCGAGUGUAGAGGUGAAAUUCGUAGAUAUUCGCAAGAACACCAGUGGCGAAGGCGGCUCACUGGCCCGAUACUGACGCUGAUGUGCGAAAGCGUGGGGAGCAAACAGG
RNAcentral lists this ribosomal RNA (253 nucleotides) under uncultured bacterium. RNAcentral's name for it is "partial 16S ribosomal RNA". It matches the Rfam family "Bacterial small subunit ribosomal RNA", at positions 524 to 776 of the family's 1533-position model. The record is from RNAcentral.